This 460-nucleotide ribosomal RNA is filed under the name uncultured bacterium. RNAcentral describes it as "partial 16S ribosomal RNA". It matches the Rfam family "Bacterial small subunit ribosomal RNA", at positions 338 to 795 of the family's 1533-position model. The record is from RNAcentral.
CCUACGGGAGGCAGCAGUGAGGAAUAUUGGUCAAUGGACGCAAGUCUGAACCAGCCAUGCCGCGUGCAGGAAGACUGCUCUAUGAGUUGUAAACUGCUUUUGUACGAGAGUAAACGCAGAUACGCGUAUCUGUCUGAAAGUAUCGUACGAAUAAGGAUCGGCUAACUCCGUGCCAGCAGCCGCGGUAAUACGGAGGAUUCAAGCGUUAUCCGGAUUUAUUGGGUUUAAAGGGUGCGUAGGCGGUCGGAUAAGUUAGAGGUGAAAUCCCGAGGCUAAACUUCGGAAUUGCCUCUGAUACUGGUAGGCUAGAGAGUAGUUGCGGUAGGCGGAAUGUAUGGUGUAGCGGUGAAAUGCUUAGAGAUCAUACAGAACACCGAUUGCGAAGGCAGCUUACCAAGCUACUUCUGACGUUGAGGCACGAAAGCGUGGGGAGCAAACAGGAUUAGAUACCCCAGUAGUC